RNAcentral lists this ribosomal RNA (468 nucleotides) under uncultured bacterium. RNAcentral describes it as "partial 16S ribosomal RNA". It matches the Rfam family "Bacterial small subunit ribosomal RNA", at positions 28 to 507 of the family's 1533-position model. The record is from RNAcentral.
GACGAACGCUGGCGGCGUGCUUAACACAUGCAAGUCGAACGGAAAGGCCCUGCUUUUGUGGGGUGCUCGAGUGGCUAACGGGUGAGUAACACGUGAGUAACCUGCCCUUGACUUUGGGAUAACUUCAGGAAACUGGGGCUAAUACCGGAUAGUAGCUCCUGCUGCAUGGUGGGGGUUGGAAAGUUUCGGCGGUUGGGGAUGGACUCGCGGCUUAUCAGCUUGUUGGUGGGGUAGUGGCUUACCAAGGCUUUGACGGGUAGCCGGCCUGAGAGGGUGACCGGCCACAUUGGGACUGAGAGACGGCCCAGACUCCUACGGGAGGCAGCAGUGGGGAAUAUUGCACAAUGGGCGGAAGCCUGAUGCAGCAACGCCGCGUGCGGGAUGACGGCCUUCGGGUUGUAAACCGCUUUCGCCUGUGACGAAGCGUGAGUGACGGUAAUGGGUAAAGAAGCACCGGCUAACUACGUG